UAAGCUGCUCAAUGAAAAUGUUAUAAAAGAUUACCUACACUAUGAGUAGGUGCAACUUUUCCAGCUUAUGUUUUGUGUUGCCUUUAGAAAGAAACCCAUUUUUCUUACUGUUUUUAAUUUUUUAUUUCACAAAAUCUCUAUAUGUGUGUCUUAUUAUGUCUUACAUAAUAGAGACUAUAACAUGGUAGAAAUAAGGAGGAAUCUUACUUUUUCCUUAUAUUUACAUAAAAAUCUGGAUAUGUACAAAUGGUUCAUAUUGAGUUGAUCUGCUAAAGCACAUUCUUGGUAAUAUUCUUCUAGAGAGAAUAGCUAGAACACCAAUUAACAUAUUGUAUAUUCAUAUACUGUGUACAUUCAAGUUGGCAGGAAGUUGCUUUAAGAAAAGCUUAUUAAUUGGUAUGAGUGAAGUCUCACUAAAGAGGAAAGUGGAGAAUUGAAAAGGGGUGCAGAACUCUUUAGAAAAAUAAAAUAGGAAAGCAGAGCCCAUCAAAGAAAUCAGGACCAGGAACUAGAGAGGGCCUGCAAAGGGUUUAACAUUUCAGAAUUUUCCUUGGCCUUUGUUGACAGCCUAUUUAUAAUGUGGUUGCAAGAAUAUUUUUUCUUCACUAUAUUUUGAGAUAUCCUCAAAUUUCUGGUUUAAAAAAUGAGUGGUAUCAGGGAGAAUUCAGAAACUAUUAUAGGUAAAGUGUUGUACUUAGCUCCAGGCUGUACUGGAGCCAGUGGUAGCAUUUUGGGGAGAAGCCAUGCUUCAUUCAGGGAGCAGGUAACUGUGUGGCCUGACUCAGUGUAUAAUUGCUAUGUAAUUGAGACCCUCUUAAUCUCUUCCCCUCAGAUGUACUUGAAGAAGCUCAUCCUGGAAAGGGAGGGACUUUGCUCAUACAAUGAAACAUAAAGGGUGUAGGCUUCUUGACAAGUAAUUAUUGGUAAUAUGUUUUUUUUUUUUUGUCUUUUCUGGGGCCGCUCCUGGGGCAUAUGGAGGUUCCCAGGCUAGGGGUUGAAUUGGAGCUGUAGCCACUGGCCUACACCAGAGCCACAGCAAUGCAGGAUCCCAGCCGUGUCUGCAACCUACACCACAGCUCACGGCAAUGCUGGAUCCUUAACCCACUGAGCAAGGCCAGGGAUUGAACCUGAAACCUCUUGGUUCCUAGUUGGAUUCGUUAACCACUGAGCCAUGACGGGAACUCCUGGUAAUGUGUUUUUAAUGUCAAAUGAAAUCAAUAAAAUAUUCCUGUUUCCAGUGUCACAUCCUUCAAAUUGUUCUUCCUACAGAGGGAAGAUCACCAAAGUGAUAUUUAAUAGUCUAAUUUCCUAACUUAAAAAUUCUUCAAGAACUAAUAGUGACCUGCAGGAUAAAAUCCAAACUAUUUUGUAGCAUAUCUAAGUCUUCCCAGCAUCCCACCCCUUCCUCCUCUCUCAUUUCCUCAUCUUCUCCUUCAGGAAAAGUUUCCUUUGGUCCAUUUCCUACUGUCUUCUUAGGGUACUGUAUUUAUCAAUAGCAGCAUUUAUAUUUUUCUGCCUUUAUGGAUUUUCUCCUUCACUUGACUGUGGUCUCCACAAGAGCAGGAGUUAUGUCUUCCAUCUCUAUAUUCUGUGUACAGUUCCUUGGCUAAUAUGCAUUAAUUAACAAGGAAUAUUUUUGAAUGAGGUGGCUUGUUGUCCUGAUGCCUAUUUCCCUCUUACACCUUCUUCAGUGUUAAGUGUGUCCAUGUCCAUCCAGGUCCACGUGAUAUUCUCAGUCUCCUUUUUAGUUAGGUAUGGACACAUGAAGAUAUUCUGAACAGCAUGAGUGGAAAUGCUGGAUGCAAUUAUAGCGUGAAAUUAAAUUUUUAAAAAUGGAAACCCUUCACUUUCUCUUUCCAUUUGCUAUAGGCUAGGAAGCAGAUAUGGGCUGGUGAGCCAGAUUUAACUUUAAUGAAGGUACAUCAUGCUACAAAAGGGAAAACAGGUAGAAGGAACCUCGGAAAACUUGCUGGAGUAAAUCCCCAUACUCCUCUUGGAGUGCUUACACACCUUUGGACAUGAGGAAAAAAUCUUUUUACUGUGGCUUAGCUUAUACUCUAGCAUAUCUGGGAGUGUACUGUGUACUCUAUCUGUGUUGCUGCUUUUGUGGGACUGAACAGAAGUUCAUUCUAUUUGCUGAUUUUAAUUAUUUAAAAGAAUCACCCUGAAUCUUUUUUAUUGAGGCAACUUCCCCAGGAUUAAUCUUUAAAAUAGUAACAUACUAGAGUUCCUAUCAGGGCUCAGUAGUAACAAACCCAACUAGUAUCCAUGAGGACGCAGGUUUGAUCCCUGGCUUCACUCAGUGGGUUAAGGAUCUGGCAUUGCUAUGAGUUGUGGUGUAGGUCACAGACAUGGCUCGGAUCCUACAUUGCUGUGGUUGUGGUGUAGGCCGGCAGCUACAGCUCUGAUUUGACCCCUCGCCUGGGAACUUCCAUAGGCCAUAGGCGUAGCCCUAAAAAGACAAAAAAAAAAGUCACAUGCUUAAUUUUGGAGAUAGAAAAAUUUGGAGUCUGUGCCAGAGUUCUUGCUUACCUAACAUUAAAUAGAAAGUCCUUCAGCUAGCAAGUGACUAGGACUGAGUUGUCCUUUAGAACUCCUAUGUUACACAAUAUACCCAAGAUUUUCUGGAUUUUUAAUCAAAUGGUUUUUCAGUUAAAUAUCCUCACAAUGCGACCACAGGGAUGAUCUAGUAUAAUUAAUGUCCACUUAACAGAAAGCUUGGUGAAGUCAUGAACAUUCUGUUUUCUAAGUAGGCAUGAUCACUAAGGUUUAUGGUAUGCUGAAUUUUUGAUGAUGCUGAUGUACCACAAUUUGGGCUGUAGUCUUAACAAGAGUCACUUAUACAUGUUGCUAAACUUGUAUAUGCCAGUUAUGAGCCUGCAUAAUACCCCGGUUAAAGCACUGAAUCUGGAGUCAGACAGUUUGUGUUCUGGCCUCCUAUGUGCCAGUUGCAUGGUCUUGGAGAAGUUACUUCUGCUUUGUAGUGUUUCCUCAUUUAUUAAAUGGGGAUAAUAGUAGUAACUACAUCAUCAGGGUCUUGUGAGGAUUAUUUGUAUAAAUAUAAACAAAUUUCUUAGUAUAAAGAUAAUUUACUAUGAAAAAUUGACAAUAAGUAAAAACCCUUAAUAGAAGUUAGCUAAUUGUAUUCAUGUAAUCCAGUUAACUAUUGCAUAAACUGAUGAAACUUGAUUAUGCAAAGAAGUUGUUACAACUAUAGAAAUUAAAUCAAAUGCUUUAGAGGCAUUCCAAAGCAAUAAAUAUCACACACAUACACCAGGUGAAGCGUGGUCAGGAAUUUUUAACAGUUUGGAGGAAAAAUACAUGGUAUUUGUAAGGAUUCUGAAUUCAAACUGCAUUGCAACCAAUAUUAAAUAUAUCGAAAGAAGAAUUAGAAUAAAUGCUUUUUGUACAAGAAAAGCAACACAGAAUCCCACCCUAGGGAGUCAUAACCAAAGAAAAGGACUUUAUCCCACUGCAGAGAAUGAAUGCUCAUUAAUAUGUUUUAGAUUACAGUAAAACUUUUAGGUCUGUUUAUACUUAUUUUUAAAAAUUUUAUCCUAUUAAGUAAAUAAGCAUCGAUCAACUGAGUACCAGUGUUGUUCCUCUCUAUUAAAAUUACUUCAUUACUCAAACAGUUCCUAGUACCCUACCCCAGGUCAUUUCUGUUGCUUUACCUGAAUAUAAAAGGGAAGACUCCUUUCCCCAAAUUUUGUUUAAAAAGUCACAUUUUUUCCUUUUUCAUUUGGUAGGUUUUAAUUUGAAGAGGGUGACAUUUCCAGAAAUUAAAUAAUAAUUAAGAAGACAAAAACAAUGGAAUAGAUAAAAUCUGAAUUUAUUCAGGUAGAUAUGUGUCCUAUUGGCCAUUCCAAAUCUCUUCUACUUAAAUGUUAAAAUUCAAGCCCAUUUAUUAUUAUAAAAAGGAUAGAAAAAUAUUUUCAUAAAACUCAAUCUUUAAAAUAUCAGAAAAAUAUGUUAAAAAUUAAAUAUAUAGGUCUUUUGAGAUUUAAAAAUAAACAUUAAAAAAUUCCUUCUAAUUUUAUUAAAUUAAUUGUAUAAAGAAAUGUAAAAUAAACCUUCCCAUCUCUAAAGAAGUCUUUCUCUUGCUCAUUAUGUUAGUCCAAUUUCUAGUUCCAUGCCUGGCACAUAUUUGGUGCUUAUUAAAUACUUGUAUAUAUGAAUGACUGAAUCAACCAAUUAAUAAAUAAAGAUGUGCUCACUGUUCCCACACAGGUCAACAUUUAGGAAAACAAACCACAUAAAUACAGAUGAAAAGAUUAUUAAACAACAAUUUAGGUCAUAAAAGCAAAGUAAAUAAAACAGAUAUGCUAGGGUAUAUUUAAUCAACAUUGAAAUAUUGAAUAAAUAACUAAGGAGACUAGAGCUUUCCUCUUGUGUAGUAUAAAAUAUAAGUUGUCAUUGAUUAACUACAAUUGAGUUCAAAUAAGAGAAAUGCUACCAGACAAAUGAUAUAUUUCACAGUUAAAUGGCAUUUAUAUUUUCAAUAUUUUUAACAAUUUAGAUUAACAUUUUUUUAUGUUAUUAAAAUAUUGAAAAUUAUAAAUUGAAUUUAAUGGAUGUAAACUCAUUUUCAUUUCUUAAAAAACUUCAGAUCAUAUAUCUACAUAUUUGGAUAUCUAAAUAAUUAAAAUAUACUUACCUACUAGUUGGUAAGUUAAAGAAAGAUAAGCUUUAAGUUUUUAGUGUUUUGUACAAAAUUGCCUAUCUACUUUUCAUUAAAGUUAUUUGAUUAUGCAACUUAAUAAGCUUUACAAAAGAAUUUCUCUCAGAAUCAAAUUCUGCAGUGGUCUUUUGGUCUUCAGUUGGUUUUGGAUAAUUUCCAGAGUAACUCCUGGAAAAUUGGUUUUAGACUCCAUAGGGCUGAUGUCAUCAGCAACAGUUAUUCCCCGAGUAUUUCAUAUAAGGCAACCAAACAGGCAAUUAGUUUCUAACAAAUAUAGAGAGGUCUGUUUGCCAUCUUGUCAGGCUUUUUUUUUUUUUGGUGUGUGUUGGGGGGCGUCUAGAUUCAGUUAGAAACUACUAUUAGAAACUCUCUAAGCAUAGAAUAAAUGCACUUCUAAUAAACUAGAAUCUCCUGCUUCACUGAAUAGAGCAAAUGAUCUUUUACAAUAGUCUACAAUUUUUUGAACUUUGGUGAAAUGCAGUAGGUUGUAUACUUUGGUUUUUAGUUUAACUCUUUUCUUAUAGCUAAUAAUGCUGUUUUUAAAAGGUUAUAAUUACAAUGCAAUUUGUAAAAUGACAGAUGUCAUAGUUCUUAGUUGUCAAAGAAAAAAUUUCACUUAUAUAAUUAUAAGAUCAAAACUGACUUUCAAAUUUAAAUUUUGCAUUACAUGUUUUUCUAAGUUUUGAUAUGUAAGUUAUUAUAGAAGGUGACAGUUAGAGAAUGAUAACAUCCUAUCAAAAUUCACUUGGAAAUCUUGCACUUGAUGACAGUUCCAGGCAUGGGAUUAGUGAAUUACAGAAGCAUUACUUUUCUUGGAUCAAUGGUGCAUAUCUGAGAGUUUGAUGCCCAAAAUUCAUCCAAUUUUUGACAAAACCAAAAUAUCAAAAACAAAACAAUCAUGCUAGAUAUUCUGUAAGGAGAAAAGGAGGUUUUUGAUGAUAACUUUUUAAAAAUUAUUUUAGGGUUUUGAGAGAAGUGUGUGUGUGUGUGUAUAGUUUUUUUGGUCUUUUUUUUAGGGCCACACCUGCAGCACAUGGAGGUUCUCAGGCUAGGAGUUGAAUCGGAGCUGUAGCUGCUGGCCUACACCACAGCCACAGCAAUGGUGGAUCUGAGUCACAUCUUCGACCUACACCACAAUUCAUGGUGCUGGAUCCUUAACCCACUAAGCAAGGCCAGGGAUCGAACCUGCAUCCUCAUGGAUACUAGUCGGUUUUGUUAUUGCUGAGCCACGAUGGGAACUCCAAAGUUAUAUUUUUUUAAAAAGCUUUCUAACCAGAACUAAAGAAACUAUACAUGCACAAAAAUGAUUGUGCUUUUCCCUCUUUACUGUGCUAGGCUUUAAAGUCUAAUAGAGUGAGGCUGAAAGUGAUGGCUAGAAGGACUUUUCCUCAUGUUUCUUAUUGAGGCUCUAUAGGGUUUAUUGCCACUACCUAAAACAAUGUAUUUUCUGGUGAUAAGAGGAAAUUUUUAAAAUUUACCCUUUCUUGGAAUUCCCUCUGUGGUACAAUGGAAUCGGCAAUGUCUCUGGAGUGCUGGAAUGCAGGUUCCAUCCCAAACAUGGCACAAUGGGUUAAGGAUCUGGCAUUGAUGCAGCAUAGGUUACAACUGUGGCUUGGAUCUGAUCCCUGGCCCAGGAACUCAACAUGCCUCAGGGUGGCCAAAAAAGGAAAAAAAAAAUUAAGAAUAAUGGUAGGUAAAGAAGAGCAGUUCUUAAAGUCUAGUGAUAAUUUUAAUAUCAAGCAUCUGAAUAUGUUUCUAUCAUGGAUUCUAAACACAUAAUAUACUACAAUAAAAAGGCUAUAGACUGUUUCAUGUAAUAAAUGUUCCAUAUGCAAUAAUAGCGACGUUGUGUCUAGACAAUAUGAUGAGCUUCCCAAGGCUGCUGAGCUCACAGAAUUAAUUUUAGGAUCUCUAUGACAUAUCUAAGGCAAUUCAGGAAGUAACAAUUUAUAGAAAAACUGCAUGACAAAUUCAACACCUUUAUUAUUUAUCAGUACCAGUUACUGCCCAAAGAGGAUACUUUUGGAACAGUUGUGAUGUUAUAUAAGAAUAUGUGUUCCUUUUUUUUUUUUUUUUGAGAAUCUUCAGGUAACGUUCAUGUCCAAAUGAGAAUGCUUAUAAUUCACUUCAAUUUUUACUUUCUCAUCAGAUACAACAAACAAUCCUAUUACUUCAUAUUUUUUCUUUAUUUAAACUCCUUUUCUUUACUUCUAGUAUCUUUGUUUCUACCUCAAUUCAAGCCUACUACAUAGUCACAUAGAUGUUAUAUUUCCAAUAGCUUCUAUCAUUUCCCCUUUUCAAAUAUUUCAGUCUAUUCCAUGCUUUGUUACUAGAGUAAUAAAAAAAUAAAUUAUCAUGUGACAGUCAUAGUCAAAAACCUUGAGAAUUCUAUGGCAAUGUUUCAGAUCAUGGUUUUGGAGGAAAAUAUAAAAAAUUUAAUGGUAAUUUGGUGGAUCUUUAAAAUCCCUAAGCUAGAGACAUCUGGGUUCAAUUCCAACAUGUAAAGUGCUUAUUACAAGAAAAAAGCCGUAUUAGCCAAAAGUGAACUACUUUUCUUGGACCUACCACAAAACUGAAAUUGCAGGGCAAACCACCUCCAGGAAAUAUGGAGAGACAGGUAAAUCCAGAGGGUCAUGGCUGAGAUAUGCCUUCCUGGAUGGAGCAGAAGCCACUGUAGAAAUAAACUGAUUGUGACACUUAAGUGGUAAUUGAAACAAAUUGCCAGAGGCUGAGUGUGAACUAGCAUGAGAGUAAGAAACAUUUAGGGACCACAGCCUUAGGAAUACCUAUACUUUUGUGUGUUUUAUACAAAAAACCUUACCAGAUUCUCACUAGUACAUCUGAUUAAGAUCCCUUAGUGACUCUGGCAGGAAGAGGGGAAAAGUAACCAAGCAAAGCUUGCCUAGAGCAUUCUCCAUAACAAAGCCUUGCUGUAAAGACUAUCAGACCCUUGUUCCACCUGAGGGAAAGGUAUUUUCCUGAUUCCAUCCCUCUCUAGUCUUGCUAUCCCACCAAAGUGGGUAAAGUUAUGUGGCACUUGUGAAGGACACAGCCCAGGUAUACAGGUCCUCCGAAAGACUGAUUUUAAUUACAAAACCAUAGUAAGCAUCUCUUCUUCCACACCUUACAACUGCAUUGGCAUGGCUUUGGUAUAAUAUUGGAUUAUUACACAGCUGAAAGAACUGAGGGAUACAGACUAUCUAAGAAGAAUUCUUACAAUAAUCUAAAGGCAACAGGAGAAACAAAAACAAGGAAACUAGAGGAAUUUCAAACCUAUGGCAACAUUAAACAAGCUUAACUCCUAGCCAGAUUAACAGAAAUCCUCAAACUGAAGGCUUAUUUACCUCAGUUCCCAUUAUCCAACACAUCAUGUCUAUAUUCAACAAACAAUUACAAGUCAUGCACAAAGGCAGGAACACAUGGGCUGAAGAGACACAAAACCAGAAUCAGAUAUGACAUAGACAUUGGAAUUAUUAGAUGGUAAAAACUUAAAAUAACUACAAUUACUAUGUUAAAAACUUCUGUGGAAACCAGACAGCAUACAAAAAAAUGGGUACUGUGGACUGAGAAAUAGAAAUUAUAAGGAUGAAAUUUUAAAUGCUAGAAAUAAAAAAUAUAGUAGUUGAAAUUAAAAAUACCUUUGAUGAGUUUAACAGUAGACUGGAAACAGAUGAGGAAAGAAUCAAUGAGCUUGAAGAUGGAUCCAUAUAAAGUCACCAAGCUGAAAUGC
This 8411-nucleotide long non-coding RNA is filed under the name Sus scrofa (pig). Its description in RNAcentral is "lncRNA (ENSSSCG00000057103.1)". The record is from RNAcentral. Lineage: Eukaryota; Metazoa; Chordata; Mammalia; Artiodactyla; Suidae.